UAGGGAAUCUUGCGCAAUGGGCGAAAGCCUGACGCAGCCAUGCCGCGUGUAUGAUGAAGGUCUUAGGAUUGUAAAAUACUUUCGCCGGUGAAGAUAAUGACUGUAGCCGGAGAAGAAGCCCCGGCUAACUUCGUG
RNAcentral lists this ribosomal RNA (135 nucleotides) under uncultured bacterium. RNAcentral describes it as "partial 16S rRNA". It matches the Rfam family "Bacterial small subunit ribosomal RNA", at positions 355 to 507 of the family's 1533-position model. The record is from RNAcentral.